CAAAUGAGCCAUCCUGCAAAUGUACUAAAAGUGUCUAGUACAGUGCGCAGCCAAUUUAGUACAAUCCCAUCGAAUGUUUUUAUGCGUGUUGUUUUGCUUUCUUAUUCGUAUCAGUGGAAUCCAUAGAAUCCGUAAAAUCUGUUUUCAACUCUUAAAACAGCAGAAAAGUCGACUUUGUUCGGUACGGUACGGUUCGGUACGCGAUUAAAAACUUGUCUUUUCCGUAAAACUAGUGCGAUUGCCUCUUAAAAUUUCAUUUUUUAAAGCAAUUCUAGUCGUUCGUAACGUUGCUGGUUAAAAAUAGUUUGCGCAUUUCAGCCGGAAGAACGGCUAUAGAAGGACCAUCAGCUGUGCCAAGACUCGAAGCGAAAAAUCGAAACCAAAGUGAGAAAGAACUUUAACAAACAUUGGUACGUACCGCUUAAAAAUUGCAACGGACCUGAAAUAACAACUGGCCGAAAUCCAAGAAAAUGUAGAGACCAACACGUUGACCCACAGAGAAGUUGACCGAAGAAAUGGAUGCUCUCAGGAAUGAAUGCUCGAUUCCCUGGAAACCCCUGCAGGGUCUAAACAAGGGUCUCGUUCCAAGCAUGAGGUGAAAGUGGUCACUGGAAGCCCUGGAAGAGGCAACCGUCUACCACGAUGAUCAAAUGUCGUAUAUGCGACGAUUAAUGAGCAACUGGAGGAUCUCGAAACGGUAAAAGUUGGGCUGGACAAGGACAAACACACCCUAGAAACCGAAAAUGCUGAUUUGGCCAACGUGAACCAAUCCCGACCGGAAAACGACCGACGUCGGAGCACAAAUUUCUGAACGGCAGGUGAAACGGGCUCAGGCUUCGGCUGCUAUCAAGAAUGCAGUAACAUGGAAAGCCAGCUGCCGGAAGCACAAUAACGUUUGGAGGAAGAAACUUGACAGAAGUCAGCCCUCAGCUCGAAGCUUAGCCAGUUGGAAAGGGAAAAGUGCUUCACUCCAGAAGUACCUGGAAGAGGAGGCCCCAGCUGAAGGAUUCAAAUUGGAAGCAAAAGAUCCUGGAGCUGUUUAAAAUUGUCAAAAGUACCGAACCGAUAGUGCAGAUUUUGACCGAUAUGCGCAUUAAAAUUUUGCUUUAAGUUUAAAAAAUCAUCAUCGAUCCAAAGAAGAUGAUUUAAAAUAAUAAAAGUAAGUGAAAUGUUUAUAAAUUUUCAAGCAUAGGUUGUAAAGUUUAAAAUUUCAAGCUCUGAAUAUUUUGUUGCUGUCUCGGGAUGAAUAAGCCAGUGAUGCUUAAAAUCCCUUGAGAAAAAAAAAAAAAAAAAUUUUGUUGCUGUCAAUUCAAAUAUGUGGUCAUGGAAAAGACGAAAGAUACAAACAAGUUUUUGAAAUCAAGAUUCAUACACACUUUUCGAAAACAAAGGAAACACAAAACCAAUUUAUGCAUAACCUUCUAAAAUGUGAAAAAGAUUGACUAUAGAAUUUUGUAAAUUUAUUUUGAAAUUAAAACAAAAUAUUAAGAUUAGGUUUUUUAACAUUUUAGUAGGAAUUUUUUCCGAAAACGACUUACCAUUUGCAAAACUAAUUAAUAGAAUUUAAUUGGUAAUUCAAGGGAACAGUAUAUAUUUAGUGCCUAUGUUUUUCUGAUGUAUUUGAAAGGUUUUGGCGUCCGAAAGUCGAAUCUUUUGUCAGAUAUAGUCUAUCACCUCUAGUUUGCGUGAUAUAAGAAACAGAUUCUGAAUAACUUCAUUAUGCUACAGUUCAUUUUGCCUACAGAUAUUUUAAUUCAAUUCAGAAAAUAGAAUAAAUUCUACAGUUUUGAAAAAAAAAAUCGAAAGAUAUCAUUACAGGUACAUAUAUCUGUCAUAAUUCAAUUCAGAAAAUAGAAUAAAUUCUACAGUUUUGAAAAAAAAAAUCGAAAGAUAUCAUUACAGGUACAUAUAUCUGUCAUAACUGAUGGAAGCAAAAAAAAGAUUUAUUCGAAUGAACAAAUUCGCCCGCAAAACGAUUUGAUUUUUGCUUUAAAAACAUCUAAAACUUAAAAUUCGUUGAUAUUGCCAUAUUUUAAGGAUAGGAAAAGUUAAACAACAUAAGAAAACUUCAUUAAACUUUUCUCGCAGAAGCCGAAAACUUGCAGUCUUUGGGAAAGUUGAAAAGUGAUUGAAAAUAUUCAUUUCAAAAUUUUUUGUAAUGAAUGUCUUACAGUUCGUAAUUGAGUAAUUUUUUCCCGUUUUUUUUUUUAUUUUAAGGAACAGUUAACACGUAAUACUUUUCUGGUAUGAUUUGAUGAAUUUGAAAAAAAAAAAUGAUCUAUUUGAAAUUCUAACACGUUAUACAUAAACUAUCUUUUAG
This is a long non-coding RNA of Uranotaenia lowii, 2320 nucleotides long. RefSeq lists it as uncharacterized. The record is from RefSeq and is a predicted model, not a curated record. The transcript has 3 exons. NCBI's taxonomy places the organism in Eukaryota, Metazoa, Arthropoda, Insecta, Diptera, Culicidae.